This 253-nucleotide ribosomal RNA is filed under the name uncultured bacterium. Its description in RNAcentral is "partial 16S ribosomal RNA". It matches the Rfam family "Bacterial small subunit ribosomal RNA", at positions 524 to 776 of the family's 1533-position model. The record is from RNAcentral.
UACGGAGGGUGCAAGCGUUAUCCGGAUUCACUGGGUUUAAAGGGUGCGUAGGCGGCCCGUUAAGUCAGUGGUGAAAGCCUCCAGCUCAACUGGAGAACUGCCAUUGAUACUGACGGGCUUGAGUACAGACGAGGUUGGCGGAAUUGAUUGUGUAGCGGUGAAAUGCAUAGAUACAAUCAGGAACUCCGAUUGCGUAGGCAGCUAACUAGGCUGUAACUGACGCUGAGGCACGAAAGCGUGGGGAGCGAACAGG